Molecule: ribosomal RNA, 476 nt
Filed under: uncultured bacterium
Lineage: Bacteria
Description: bacterial SSU rRNA
Rfam family: Bacterial small subunit ribosomal RNA
Source: RNAcentral
AUUGAACGCUGGCGGCAUGCCUUACACAUGCAAGUCGAACGGCAGCACGGGAGCAAUCCUGGUGGCGAGUGGCGAACGGGUGAGUAAUAUAUCGGAACGUGCCCAGUCGUGGGGAUAACGUAGCGAAAGCUACGCUAAUACCGCAUACGAUCUAUGGAUGAAAGCGGGGGAUCGCAAGACCUCGCGCGAUUGGAGCGGCCGAUAUCAGAUUAGGUAGUUGGUGAGGUAAAGGCUCACCAAGCCGACGAUCUGUAGCUGGUCUGAGAGGACGACCAGCCACACUGGGACUGAGACACGGCCCAGACUCCUACGGGAGGCAGCAGUGGGGAAUUUUGGACAAUGGACGCAAGUCUGAUCCAGCCAUUCCGCGUGCAGGAUGAAGGCCCUCGGGUUGUAAACUGCUUUUGUACGGAACGAAAAGGUUUCUAUUAAUACUAGGAGCUCAUGACGGUACCGUAAGAAUAAGCACCGGCUAA